GUGUCAGCAGCCGCGGUAAUACGUAGGGAGCAAGCGUUGUCCGGAAUCAUUGGGCGUAAAGCGCGCGUAGGCGGCCCGGUAAGUCCGCUGUGAAAGUCCAGGGCUCAACCCUGGGAUGCCGGUGGAUACUGUCGGGCUAGAGUCCGGAAGAGGCGAGUGGAAUUCCUGGUGUAGCGGUGGAAUGCGCAGAUAUCAGGAGGAACACCUAUAGCGAAGGCAGCUCGCUGGGACGGAACUGACGCUAAGGCGCGAAAGCGUGGGGAGCGAACAGGAUUAGAAACCCGCGUAGUCC
This 292-nucleotide ribosomal RNA is filed under the name uncultured bacterium. RNAcentral's name for it is "partial 16S ribosomal RNA". It matches the Rfam family "Bacterial small subunit ribosomal RNA", at positions 505 to 796 of the family's 1533-position model. The record is from RNAcentral.